CUAUGGGUAGCUUAGUUGGCAGAGCAUGAGACUUGUAAUCUCAGGGUCGUGGGUUCAAGCCCCAUGUUGGGGA
Molecule: non-coding RNA, 73 nt
Organism: Zootoca vivipara (common lizard)
Lineage: Eukaryota; Metazoa; Chordata; Lepidosauria; Squamata; Lacertidae
Source: the annotation of a RefSeq genome assembly